Molecule: long non-coding RNA, 643 nt
Filed under: Lotus japonicus
Lineage: Eukaryota; Viridiplantae; Streptophyta; Magnoliopsida; Fabales; Fabaceae
Description: long non-coding RNA (LJAP_LNC000811)
Source: RNAcentral
AAAUAAUCCCACACUAAAACCCACCCCUAAAACCAAAUGCCAGACCUUCCAGGAGCUAAGUCUUCAUCAAGCAAAAUCCUUAUUGGAAGAAUGCAACGAAAUCAAUGAAACAAUUAGGCUCCCACAUGCUAUACACAAAGUAGAACAGGUCACUAUAUCAAAGAUAGCAUUGAGCACUAAAUCAAUUCCUCCUUUAUUUGGCAAAAUUAUGCAGCAAAUACACUGGUUACUAAAGAAUUGGUUAUCAUUAACUAGGAUAAAACCAUCAUGGGAAAACUUAGUAAGGAAAAAGAGUACCCAAUUUAUAAAGCCAAUGAGAAAUUUCCAAGGAGGUUUACAAAGAGAUAAAUAAUCCCACACUAAAACCCACCCCUAAAACCAAAUGCCAGACCUUCCAGGAGCUAAGUCUUCAUCAAGCAAAAUCCUUAUUGGAAGAAUGCAACGAAAUCAAUGAAACAAUUAGGCUCCCACAUGCUAUACACAAAGUAGAACAGGUCACUAUAUCAAAGAUAACAUUGAGCACUAAAUCAAUUCCUCCUUUAUUUGGCAAAAUUAUGCAGCAAAUACACUGGUUGUCCAACCCUCAAACGACAAGCACUCUGAAUGAACUUUUCUAAGCCAAAGAUCCAACUCUGCUCAACCA